RNAcentral lists this ribosomal RNA (253 nucleotides) under uncultured bacterium. RNAcentral's name for it is "partial 16S ribosomal RNA". It matches the Rfam family "Bacterial small subunit ribosomal RNA", at positions 524 to 776 of the family's 1533-position model. The record is from RNAcentral.
UACGAAGGGGGCUAGCGUUGCUCGGAAUCACUGGGCGUAAAGGGUGCGUAGGCGGGUCUUUUAAGUCAGGGGUGAAAUCCUGGAGCUCAACUCCAGAACUGCCUUUGAUACUGAGAGCUUGAGUCCGGGAGAGGUGAGUGGAACUGCGAGUGUAGAGGUGAAAUUCGUAGAUAUUCGCAAGAACACCAGUGGCGAAGGCGGCUCACUGGCCCGGUACUGACGCUGAGGUGCGAAAGCGUGGGGAGCAAACAGG